RNAcentral lists this transfer RNA (67 nucleotides) under Fringilla montifringilla (brambling). Its description in RNAcentral is "tRNA-Lys". The record is from RNAcentral. Lineage: Eukaryota; Metazoa; Chordata; Aves; Passeriformes; Fringillidae.
CAUUAAGAAGCUAUGAAUCAGCAUUAGCCUUUUAAGCUAAAGAAAGAGGGAACUCCCUCCUUAAUGA